AUGCUGAUUUUUUUACUCCUUCCUCUCUUUUUUUUUUUCUUUUUUUUCUGCAUCUCCUCAAGUCAAGCCAGAGCUGUGGGAACCRCACUGAGCGAGUGCGACCCGAGCAGGGAGGGCAGCCAAAAGGCCCUGCCAAAGCUCCAGCCCCCAGCCUGGAGAGGGGAGCGCUGGGCUUCCCCCGUCCCACCCCGUGGGUACGCAGUCCCCAGGUGCAGCUCUCCUCCUGCGGCCCGGGAUUUCCGAGGGGCGGCUGAGCCCGCCGUUCCCAGGCGGAGAUCAGCCCCGGGCGGGAAUGUUGCAACUGCAACUGGCAUCCAUGAAUCACCUCCCCGGCGCCUUCCCCAGCCGCCCUCCUGCGAAAUGGCAGCUGCCGAGCAAGGUGCUCCCCGGCCUGGGACCACAACUGCGGCCCGGCGAGUGCCGGCGCUGCCUCCCGGGCUUGCUGCCCCGUGGCAGAGCUCGCCUGCAGCCGGCCCUGGAGUUUCUUGCCCCCGGGCGAGCCAGACCCCGGGCAGCUCUGCUGCAGUGGAGCUUGCCGGCUUGCAAGGCUGCAGCUCACCGUGCCCCCUCCUCCCGCAUCCUCCUCUCCCCUCGAGCAGGUGCUGGUUUUCCCUUUCCYUCCAACCUCGCCCACCCCCGGGUUUCUCAUUAACCCCAGCCUGCGCUGCAGGGAAGGGUAAACACGGCAGGGAGGACGGAGCGCCGCGUAGCCGGGCAACCGGCACCAGGCUCGCCCCCAUCCCUGCUCCGUGGGGACCAGCAGCCCCUUCCGCAUCCUGCAUCCUUUCCCGGGAUUUCCCCGGGAUUUCCCCAGCAGCGAGACGAGGCCAGAGGCCAGAGCCCCUCUUCCUCCGGCAGGUGCCGGAGAGGGGGCCCCCGGGUCCCGGCUGCUCGCUGCCGCUCCGGCAGCUGCAUCCCUCCGGCGGCCCCGGGGCACCCGCGUGCCCAGCUCUCCCGGCCUGGCUGCUUUCCGCACAGCCGGGUUCGCACCGCAGUCGGCCGCGUGCGCCGGCAGCUCCUCACUUCCCUCCUCGCCGUGCUGGUGCUCGUGCCCCAUACCUGCCCCUUUCCUUUUAUAYGUGUAGAGAGCGAUGUAUUUAA
RNAcentral lists this long non-coding RNA (1101 nucleotides) under Dromaius novaehollandiae (emu). RNAcentral describes it as "lncRNA (ENSDNVG00000000308.1)". Lineage: Eukaryota; Metazoa; Chordata; Aves; Casuariiformes; Dromaiidae. The record is from RNAcentral.